This 222-nucleotide long non-coding RNA is filed under the name Panax ginseng (ginseng). Its description in RNAcentral is "long non-coding RNA (PGIN_LNC018550)". The record is from RNAcentral. Lineage: Eukaryota; Viridiplantae; Streptophyta; Magnoliopsida; Apiales; Araliaceae.
GAAUAGUGCCGUAUACGUGAAUAGUAACUCCGACACUAAAAAAUAGAAAUUUCACAAAAAUAUCAUCAUGCUUCGUGAAUAGUACUCGUGAAUAGUAACUCGUGAAUAGUAACUCAUGAAUAGUAACCCUGACAUGAAAAAGUUCCAAAUUUGAUAAAAAGUUCAAACCAAUAUUUCGGCAUAAUGAUAUUGAAGAAAUAAUAUCAUUUACGAAGAAAAUAA